UACGGAGGGUGCGAGCGUGGUUCGGAAUUACUGGGCGUAAAGCGCGUGUAGGCGGCCUUCUAAGUCUGGUGUGAAAGCCCGGGGCUCAACCCCGGAAGUGCAUUGGAUACUGGGAGGCUGGAGUACCGGAGAGGAGGGUGGAAUUUCAGGUGUAGCGGUGAAAUGCGUAGAUAUCUGAAGGAACAUCAGUGGCGAAAGCGACUUCCUGGACCAAUACUGACGCUCAUGUGCGAAAGCGUGGGGAGCAAACAGG
RNAcentral lists this ribosomal RNA (253 nucleotides) under uncultured bacterium. RNAcentral's name for it is "partial 16S ribosomal RNA". It matches the Rfam family "Bacterial small subunit ribosomal RNA", at positions 524 to 776 of the family's 1533-position model. The record is from RNAcentral.